RNAcentral lists this ribosomal RNA (256 nucleotides) under uncultured bacterium. Its description in RNAcentral is "partial 16S ribosomal RNA". It matches the Rfam family "Bacterial small subunit ribosomal RNA", at positions 524 to 776 of the family's 1533-position model. The record is from RNAcentral.
UACGGGGGGAGCAAGCGUUGUUCGGAUUUACUGGGCGUAAAGGGCGCGGUAGGCGGUCGUGACAAGUCACUUGUGAAAUCUCCGGGCUUAACUCGGAACGGUCAAGUGAUACUGUCGGACUAGAGUACAGAAGGGGCAACUGGAAUUCUACGGUGUAGCGGUGAAAUGCGUAGAUAUCAGGAGGAACACCGGUGGCGAAGGCGGCUUGCUGGGCCAGUUCUGACGCUGAGGAGCGAAAGCGUGGGGAGCGAACAGG